GACGAACGCUGGCGGCGUGCUUAACACAUGCAAGUCGUACGGUAAGGCCCUUUCGGGGGUACACGAGUGGCGAACGGGUGAGUAACACGUGAGUAACCUGCCCACAACUUUGGGAUAACGCUAGGAAACUGGUGCUAAUACUGGAUAUGUGCUCCUGCUGCAUGGUGGGGGUUGGAAAGCUCCGGCGGUUGUGGAUGGACUCGCGGCCUAUCAGCUUGUUGGUGGGGUAGUGGCCUACCAAGGCGGCGACGGGUAGCCGGCCUGAGAGGGUGACCGGCCACAUUGGGACUGAGAUACGGCCCAGGCUGCUACGGGAGGCAGCAGUGGGGAAUAUUGAACGAUGGGCGCAAGCCUGAUGCAGCAGCGCCGCGUGCGGGAUGACGGUCUUCGGGUUGUAAACCGAUUUCAGCAGUGACGAAGCUUUUUGUGACGGUACCUGCAGAAGAAGCACCGGCUAACUACGUG
Molecule: ribosomal RNA, 465 nt
Filed under: uncultured bacterium
Lineage: Bacteria
Description: partial 16S ribosomal RNA
Rfam family: Bacterial small subunit ribosomal RNA
Source: RNAcentral